Oncorhynchus kisutch (coho salmon) is the source of this 1079-nucleotide non-coding RNA. Lineage: Eukaryota; Metazoa; Chordata; Actinopteri; Salmoniformes; Salmonidae. The record is from RefSeq and is a predicted model, not a curated record.
ACUCUGCUGUGUCCGUAGGGGAGUUGACAGAGACCGAAGGGGAGUUGACAGAGACCGAAGGGGGGACUAUAAGAGGAGGGACGUUGCCGUGUACAGAAGACGUAUCAGCACAGCGUUGAGUGAGGUUCACACAUACAAACCAGCAAGAUGAAGAUAGUGAUGUUGGCUGUGACUCUGGCCCUGCUGUUGGCUAGUGGUGAAGCACUGGACUGUCUGCGCUGUGUGCCAACGAAGGCAGGAAGAGACUGUGAGGUAACAGUAGAAACCUGUCCCCCAGAGAAGGACGGAUGUGCAGCCGCCAAGUUCCUCAGAGCACCAUUUGGCCAUUUCCAGAGAUGCAUGGACAUGUCGGGCUGUAAGCAGUUCCAAACCAACGCUUACAUCAACAUGAAGUGCUGUGGCACUGACAAGUGCAACACGUUCUAGAAUCUAUGUACUGGUUAAUGUUCUAGAAUCUAUAUACUGGUUAACAUUCUAGAAUCUAUGUACUGGUUAAUGUUCUAGAAUCUAUAUACUGGUUCACGUUCUAGAAUCUAUGUACUGGUUAAUGUUCUAGAAUCUAUAUACUGGUUAACGUUCUAGAAUCUAUGUACUGGUUAAUGUUCUAGAAUCUAUAUACUGGUUCACGUUCUAGAAUCUAUGUACUGGUUAAUGUUCUAGAAUCUAUAUACUGGUUCACGUUCUAGAAUCUAUGUACUGGUUAAUGUUCUAGAAUCUAUAUACUGGUUAACGUUCUAGAAUCUAUGUACUGGUUAAUGUUCUAGAAUCUAUAUACUGGUUCACGUUCUAGAAUCUAUAUACUGGUUCACAUUCUAGAAUCUAUAUACUGGUUCACAUUCUAGAAUCUAUAUACUGGUUCACAUUCUAGAAUCUAUAUACUGGUUCACAUUCUAGAAUCUAUAUACUGGUUCACAUUCUAGAAUCUAUAUACUGGUUCACAUUCUAGACCAGGGGAAUUCAAAUCCUUCCAUGGAGGUCUGGAGUACUGCUGGUUUUCUGUUCUACCUGAUAAUUCAUUGUUCUGGUGUCUAAAUCAGUCACUGAUUAGAAAUAAAUAAAAACAGAGGAAGUGGCUUUGA